AUGAGAAUGUUUAGUAGGCACCUACUGUGUGCGGCCCUGGGCUCCGGAAGCAGCUGCCGCCCUGGGGGGGGGGGGGGGGGAAGUGUCCUGCAGCCUGUGAUUGAGCUCCCCGAGUGGGGAAAGUCCCUCCAUCCAGAGGAGCCCAUCUUGGAGCACAGCUGGGGGGGGGGGGGGGGGGGGGGAGACCUGGUUCUAGGACUCUCCUGUCCUUGUGUCCAUGUCAUUCCCCUGCCGGAGGGGGAGGGGCUCGCACCCGGCUGCAGUGGGCCUGGAGGCAGCCACGGAGAGGCUGAGGCCGAGUGGGGGGAGGUUAUGGAGGCCAAGUGGAGGCAGCCAGGCAGGGGUGGCCCCUCCAUGUUCCCGGCAAACUCCGGGCUUUGGUCCCCGAGACGUAGAGAUCGAGUGUGGCCUCCGUGGCCCCCAGAAUACGCACCCACCGUGGAGCCGGGGAGAAGGGCCCCCUUGUCCCGAUCCCACCCUGGUGGCCCCCAGGAUGCUUUGCACAAAAUCCCCCUUGGCUUGGAGCGCCUGGCUCCUCCAGAGCUUCAGACUAAGUGCAGCCGCGUACACACAGUAGGUGUGCGGGGCAAGUAUCCGUCUGUUCCAAUCAUGUGCCGCCCUGGCCUCUUGGGUUCCGCUCGAGGGAGGCAGCCCCAGACCCAGCCCUUCUGGGCCCAGCACCGUUUGGGAGCCAUUUCCCACAAUCCCCAGGAAAGUCCGGAGCUGCACCCCACUGCCUGCUCUCCUUCCACGAGGCCCCGCCCCAGCCGACCCCUGUUACCCAGGCCUGACAGUGGCCACUCAGAGGGAAUGGCGCCUGGCACCCAGGAGCAUCAUGGGAGUAAGUGGCCAAGGUCAAGCUGCUGCAGGAGUCAUGAAGGGGAACUUGGCUCUCCUGGUCCCAGUGCUCUGGAGUCCAAUAGAAGCCGUUCCCGCCCCCAUUCUUGGGCCACCUUCAUGCCCCACCAGGUGGUCAAAGAGGAUCCUCCCGGGGCAUGGAGCACUCCCUGUGGUGCUCAGUCUCUCCAGCAUGCUGCUGCUUCCCAAGCUCUGCCCCCGCCCCCAGUGUGA
This 1071-nucleotide long non-coding RNA is filed under the name Sarcophilus harrisii (Tasmanian devil). RNAcentral describes it as "lncRNA (ENSSHAG00000020516.1)". The record is from RNAcentral. Lineage: Eukaryota; Metazoa; Chordata; Mammalia; Dasyuromorphia; Dasyuridae.